UCCCUGGUGGUCCAGUGGCUAAAACUCCAUGCUCCCAAUACAGGGGGCCCAGGUUCAAUUCCUGGUCAGGGAA
Non-coding RNA from Bos taurus (domestic cattle), 73 nucleotides. NCBI's taxonomy places the organism in Eukaryota, Metazoa, Chordata, Mammalia, Artiodactyla, Bovidae. The record is from Rfam.